GAUGAAGAACGUAGCGAAAUGCGAUACGUAAUGUGAAUUGCAGAAUUCCGUGAAUCAUCGAAUCUUUGAACGCACAUUGCGCCCCCUGGCAUUCCGGGGGGCAUGCCUGUCCGAGCGUCAUUUCUGCCCUCAAGCACGGCUUGUGUGUUGGGUGCGGUCCCCCCGGGGACCUGCCCGAAAGGCAGCGGCGACGUCCGUCUGGUCCUCGAGCGUAUGGGGCUCUGUCACUCGCUCGGGAAGGACCUGCGGGGGUUGGUCACCACUAUAUUUUACCACGGUUGACCUCGGAUCAGGUAGGAGUUACCCGCUGAACUUAAGCAUAUCAAUAAGCGGAGGA
RNAcentral lists this unclassified non-coding RNA (337 nucleotides) under soil metagenome. Its description in RNAcentral is "partial contains 5.8S ribosomal RNA, internal transcribed spacer 2, and large subunit ribosomal RNA". The stretch from base 1 to 120 matches the Rfam family "5.8S ribosomal RNA", at positions 35 to 154 of the family's 154-position model. The record is from RNAcentral.